Molecule: non-coding RNA, 148 nt
Filed under: Pan troglodytes (chimpanzee)
Lineage: Eukaryota; Metazoa; Chordata; Mammalia; Primates; Hominidae
Source: Rfam by way of RNAcentral
GCUGGGCGUGGUGGCGUGUGCCUGUAGUCCCAGCUACUCGGGAGGCUGAGGCAGAAGAAUCGCUUGAACCCAGGAGGAGGAGGUUGCAGUGAGUCGAGAUCAUGCCACUGCAUUCCAGCCUGGGUGACAGAGCUAGACUCUGCCUCAA